This 440-nucleotide ribosomal RNA is filed under the name uncultured Sulfitobacter sp. RNAcentral describes it as "bacterial SSU rRNA". It matches the Rfam family "Bacterial small subunit ribosomal RNA", at positions 97 to 570 of the family's 1533-position model. The record is from RNAcentral. Lineage: Bacteria; Pseudomonadati; Pseudomonadota; Alphaproteobacteria; Rhodobacterales; Roseobacteraceae.
GGCGGACGGGUUUAGUAACGCGUUGGGAACGUACCCUUUUCUACGGAAUAGCCUCGGGAAACUGAGAGUAAUACCGUAUACGCCCUUCGGGGGAAAGAUUUAUCGGAGAAGGAUCGGCCCGCGUAAGAUUAGAUAGUUGGUGGGGUAAUGGCCUACCAAGUCUACGAUCUUUAGCUGGUUUGAGAGGAUGAUCAGCAACACUGGGACUGAGACACGGCCCAGACUCCUACGGGAGGCAGCAGUGGGGAAUCUUAGACAAUGGGGGAAACCCUGAUCUAGCCAUGCCGCGUGAGUGACGAAGGCCUUAGGGUCGUAAAGCUCUUUCGCUGGGGAAGAUAAUGACUGUACCCAGUAAAGAAACCCCGGCUAACUCCGUGCCAGCAGCCGCGGUAAUACGGAGGGGGUUAGCGUUGUUCGGAAUUACUGGGCGUAAAGCGCGC